CAGCCCUACGGAGUGCUCAGGUCCGCCGCAUCUCCUGGGUCCGUGGGGUUUGGCCGGUCGGAGCGCGGUUGAGUGGCCUCCUCGUUAGCGCCGCGUUUCGACCGGCCACCUU
Methyloceanibacter marginalis is the source of this 112-nucleotide small RNA. It matches the Rfam family "EcpR1". Rfam says of the family: Perviously named SmelC291, SmrC10, or Sra33. Lineage: Bacteria; Pseudomonadati; Pseudomonadota; Alphaproteobacteria; Hyphomicrobiales; Hyphomicrobiaceae. The record is from Rfam.